GUUGUAUGGUUAAGUGACUAAGCGUACACGGUGGAUGCCUUGGCAGUCAGAGGCGAUGAAGGACGUAUUAACUUGCGAUAAGCCCAGAUUAGGUAGUAAAAACCACUUGAGUCUGGGAUUUCCGAAUGGGGAAACCCACUUACAUAAGUAAGUAUCGCUGCGUGAAUACAUAGCGCAGCGAGGCGAACCGGGGGAACUGAAACAUCUAAGUACCCCGAGGAAAAGAAAUCAACCGAGAUUCCGAAAGUAGCGGCGAGCGAAAUUGGACUAGCCC
This 274-nucleotide ribosomal RNA is filed under the name Vibrio antiquarius. Its description in RNAcentral is "partial 23S ribosomal RNA". It matches the Rfam family "Bacterial large subunit ribosomal RNA", at positions 1 to 270 of the family's 2925-position model. The record is from RNAcentral. Lineage: Bacteria; Pseudomonadati; Pseudomonadota; Gammaproteobacteria; Vibrionales; Vibrionaceae.